GCCGACUUGUCUUUACAAUAUAUUAAUCCCCCUAAAGCUAAGCUGAUUGAAUUAACAAUAAAGCAUCUUAUAGUAAAAGGGGUGGCCUAAUAAUAAAAUUAGCAAGCCAAGUUAGGUGAAGAAUGUAUCAGGGUCAGCGUCGGCGAGUGACAAGGUCAAAUCCUGUUUCUUUGGACCAAGGAGGCAAAGGAGUGGUUGUUUGUUGCCCUUGAUUCUUCUCAGUUUUCAACUUUCAAUGCCAGGACCCUUUCCCUCUUUGAGAGCUACAGAUCAACCCCAAAAGGCAUUGAUUCCAUUCGACCGCUAUUUAAAAGACGGUAUACUAUCAGUUCUUCAUUAUCUCACUUGGAACUCCGAGAAACUGCAAAAGUCCAGAAUUAACAAUUCCACAAUGAAUUUAUUACUUUAGCAUCCAAUUCAAUUCGUCAAAUGAGUUGAGCAAGACAACGACAACAGUUCUAGCCGAUGGUCCAUGAGGCAGAAAGAAAUAUAUAAAUAUAUAUAAAUAUAAUUGACUGGUUAUAUCACGGGCUAUACAUUCAGCCAGAGGAAGCAAUCUAGAAUUCCAAAGUUAUC
This 576-nucleotide long non-coding RNA is filed under the name Theobroma cacao (cacao). Its description in RNAcentral is "long non-coding RNA (TCAC_LNC002522)". Lineage: Eukaryota; Viridiplantae; Streptophyta; Magnoliopsida; Malvales; Malvaceae. The record is from RNAcentral.